UACAGAGGUCCCGAGCGUUGUUCGGAUUCACUGGGCGUAAAGGGUGCGCAGGUGGUUUGGCAAGUUUGAUGUGAAAGCCCCGGGCUUAACCCGGGAAUGGCAUUGAAUACUGCUUGAACUGGAGGGUCGGAGGGGGGACUGGAAUUCUUGGUGUAGCAGUGAAAUGCGUAGAGAUCGGGAGGAACAUCAGUUGCGAAGGCGGCUCUCUGGACCAGCACUGACACUGAGGCACGAAAGCGUGGGGAGCAAACAGG
This 254-nucleotide ribosomal RNA is filed under the name uncultured bacterium. Its description in RNAcentral is "partial 16S ribosomal RNA". It matches the Rfam family "Bacterial small subunit ribosomal RNA", at positions 524 to 776 of the family's 1533-position model. The record is from RNAcentral.